This 454-nucleotide ribosomal RNA is filed under the name uncultured bacterium. RNAcentral's name for it is "partial 16S ribosomal RNA". It matches the Rfam family "Bacterial small subunit ribosomal RNA", at positions 28 to 507 of the family's 1533-position model. The record is from RNAcentral.
GAUGAACGCUGACAGAAUGCUUAACACAUGCAAGUCAACUUGAACUUCGGUUUGGGUGGCGGAUGGGUGAGUAACGCGUAAAGAACUUGCCUCACAGCUAGGGACAACAUUUGGAAACGAAUGCUAAUACCUGAUAUUAUGAUUAUAUGGCAUCGUAUAAUUAUGAAAGCUAUAUGCGCUGUGAGAGAGCUUUGCGUCCCAUUAGCUAGUUGGAGAGGUAACAGCUCACCAAGGCGAUGAUGGGUAGCCGGCCUGGGAGGGUGAUCGGCCACAAGGGGACUGAGACACGGCCCUUACUCCUCCGGGAGGCAGCGGUGGGGAAUAUUGGACAAUGGACCGAGAGUCUGAUCCAGCAAUUCUGUGUGCACGAUGAAGUUUUUCGGAAUGUAAAGUGCUUUCAGUUGGGAAGAAAAAAAUGACGGUACCAACAGAAGAAGUGACGGCUAAAUACGCG